GACGAACGCUGGCGGCGUGCCUAAUACAUGCAAGUAGAACGCACAGUUUAUACCGUAGCUUGCUACACCAUAGACUGUGAGUUGCGAACGGGUGAGUAACGCGUAGGUAACCUGCCUGGUAGCGGGGGAUAACUAUUGGAAACGAUAGCUAAUACCGCAUAAUAUUGAUUAUUGCAUGAUAAUUGAUGGAAAGAUGCUAUUGCAUCACUACCAGAUGGACCGGCGUUGUAUUAGCUAGUAGGUGAGGUAACGGCUCACCUAGGCGACGAUACAUAGCCGACCUGAGAGGGUGAUCGGCCACACUGGGACUGAGACACGGCCCAGACUCCUACGGGAGGCAGCAGUAGGGAAUCUUCGGCAAUGGACGGAAGUCUGACCGAGCAACGCCGCGUGAGUGAAGAAGGUUUUCGGAUCGUAAAGCUCUGUUGUAAGAGAAGAACGGGUGUGAGAGUGGAAAGUUCACACUGUGACGGUAUCUUACCAGAAAGGGACGGCUAACUACGUG
RNAcentral lists this ribosomal RNA (505 nucleotides) under uncultured bacterium. Its description in RNAcentral is "partial 16S ribosomal RNA". It matches the Rfam family "Bacterial small subunit ribosomal RNA", at positions 28 to 507 of the family's 1533-position model. The record is from RNAcentral.